GCAUAUCAAUAAGCGGAGGAAAAGAAACCAACAGGGAUUGCCUCAGUAACGGCGAGUGAAGCGGCAACAGCUCAAAUUUGAAAUCUGGCCCUCGGGUCCGAGUUGUAAUUUGCAGAGGAUGCUUCGGGCGCGGCGCCUUCCAAGUCCCCUGGAACGGGGCGCCACAGAGGGUGAGAGCCCCGUCGGGUCGGCCGCCAAGCCUGUGUGAAGCUCCUUCGACGAGUCGAGUAGUUUGGGAAUGCUGCUCUAAGCGGGAGGUAGACCCCUUCUAAAGCUAAAUACCGGCCAGAGACCGAUAGCGCACAAGUAGAGUGAUCGAAAGAUGAAAAGCACUUUGAAAAGAGGGUCAAAUAGUACGUGAAAUUGCUGAAAGGGAAGCGCUUGUGACCAGACGUGCGCCGGGGUGUUCCGCGGGCGUUCUCGCCCGCGCACUCGCCCCGGCGCAGGCCAGCGUCGGUUCCGGCGGGGGGACAAAGGCAGCGGGAACGUAGCUCCCCCGGGAGUGUUAUAGCCCGCCGCGCCAUGCCCCCUCCGGGACCGAGGUUCGCGCUCCGCAAGGACGCUGGCGUAAUGGUCCCCAGCGGCCCGUCUUGAAACACGGACCAAGGAGUCGAGGUUCUGCGCGAGUGUAUGGGUGUCAAACCCGCACGCGCAAUGAAAGUGAACGCAGGUGGGAGCUUCGGCGCACCACCGACCGAUCCUGAUGUGCUCGGAUGGAUUUGAGUAGGAGCGCAGGGCCUCGGACCCGAAAGAUGGUGAACUAUACGUGGAUAGGGUGAAGCCAGAGGAAACUCUGGUGGAGGCUCGCAGCGGUUCUGACGUGCAAAUCGAUCGUCAAAUCUGCGUAUGGGGGCGAAAGACUAAUCGAACCAUCUAGUAGCUGGUUACCGCCGAA
RNAcentral lists this ribosomal RNA (895 nucleotides) under Phialosporostilbe scutiformis. RNAcentral's name for it is "partial large subunit ribosomal RNA". It matches the Rfam family "Eukaryotic large subunit ribosomal RNA", at positions 38 to 965 of the family's 3401-position model. Lineage: Eukaryota; Fungi; Ascomycota; Sordariomycetes; Chaetosphaeriales; Chaetosphaeriaceae. The record is from RNAcentral.